This is a long non-coding RNA of Pseudophryne corroboree (corroboree frog), 422 nucleotides long. RefSeq lists it as uncharacterized. The transcript is spliced from 3 exons. The record is from RefSeq and is a predicted model, not a curated record. Lineage: Eukaryota; Metazoa; Chordata; Amphibia; Anura; Myobatrachidae.
CUACUCCUCUGCAGCAGUGCAUCCCACAGACAAAAGAGAGUGAGACCUUGUGACUGUGAAGUAUCACAUAUAUCUCUUUAAAAUCAGGACCUGAAAAUCUUCUCUAAAAUGAUGGCUGCUUAGCUUCAGUCUCUACUUCCCAAAAUGGUGCACCCUGCCAAACAGGCUUUGUUAAAGGUCGGCAUUCUGUGCACAAUAAUCGUAUACUACUUGUUGCGCAGAUUUAAGCACAUCCAGAUGAAGAAAGGUGGAAAAUAAUAUUAGUAAGCUGUUAUGCAGCCAAACUCUUUGACUGGUGUCCUGGACCCAUCUUCUCUGUAUUAUUCAUCACCAGAGGAUCAUCGGACUGUUAUAUUCAAUAUGUCUCAACCUGGAUGGAUCAUCGGACUGUUAUAUUCAAUAUGUCUCAACCUGGAUGGUAA